GAUGAACGCUGGCGGCGUGCCUAAUACAUGCAAGUCGAGCGAAAAGACGCGGAGCUUGCUCCUCUGACGUUAGCGGGGGACGGGUGAGUAACACGUGGAUAACCUACCUAUAAGACUGGGAUAACUUCGGGAAACCGGAGCUAAUACCGGAUAAUAUAUUGAACCGGAUGGUUCAAUAGUGAAAGACGGUUUUGCUGUCACUUAUAGAUGGAUCCGCGCCGCAUUAGCUAGUUGGUAAGGUAACGGCUUACCAAGGCAACGAUGCGUAGCCGACCUGAGAGGGUGAUCGGCCACACUGGAACUGAGACACGGCCCAGACUCCUACGGGAGGCAGCAGUAGGGAAUCUUCCGCAAUGGGCGCAAGCCUGACGGAGCAACGCCGCGUGAGUGAUGAAGGUCUUCGGAUCGUAAACCUCUUUUAUUAGGGAAGAACAAAUGUGUAAGUAACUAGGCACGUCUUGACGGUACCUAAUCAGAAAGCCCCGGCUAACUACGUG
Molecule: ribosomal RNA, 497 nt
Filed under: uncultured bacterium
Lineage: Bacteria
Description: partial 16S ribosomal RNA
Rfam family: Bacterial small subunit ribosomal RNA
Source: RNAcentral